Epinephelus moara (kelp grouper) is the source of this 6471-nucleotide RNA transcript. It is a transcript of the gene named sodium channel, voltage-gated, type II, beta, with no coding region annotated. NCBI's taxonomy places the organism in Eukaryota, Metazoa, Chordata, Actinopteri, Perciformes, Serranidae. The transcript has 6 exons. The record is from RefSeq and is a predicted model, not a curated record.
AGGCACUGCCAGCCAUGUCCUGCCUCUAAAACAAAAAAAUACCCUUUUUAGCAUUUUCACGCACACUACAAGAGCAAACCUGCAGCUCUUAUUUUUAAUAUUGCUAUUUUUUUCUAGAGAUAAAAGCCUGUUUUUUUAAUAGGAAGGAGAGAAAAUGUCUUCCCUCGCGCAGGAGAGGAGGUCUGGCGUUCAGCUGCUGAGCGCGGCGCUGCUGCCGCUGCUGCUGCUCUCGCUUUCCGGUUGUUCAGGCAUGGAUGUGCUCAUGCCCAGUAACAUUAAUGCACUGAAUGGAUCAACCAUCAAAAUCCCCUGCACAUUUACUUCCUGCUAUAGGAUGGAUGCUACAAAGUUUGCCAUGAACUGGACCUACCAAGAAACACUUAAUGAUACAGAAGUGAUGUUUAUGACAUUCCAUAAGAAAAAAGGAAUGGUGCCUCUGCGUUCAGAACGGUUUGGAGACAGGGUCACAUUUGCUGGGAACCUGGAUAAAAACGACCUGUCAAUCACCCUAUCAGAUGUUCAGCUGGAGGAUGAGGGCAUUUACAACUGCUAUGUGAAAAACCCCCCAGACCGAAUCCAGGGACAUGGUGUCAUACAGCUCAAUGUUGUUACCGAACUUCCCCCGCCGAGGGAUUCAACAAUCGCAGUUGCGAUUGGGGCUUCAGUGGGUGGAGCGUUAGCUCUGCUGAUCCUUUCCAUGGUAGUAGUGAAAUGUCUUCGUCGACACCGGAAACAGGAACUGAUUUCAGAGGAGAAGAUGGAGGAGGAGGGAAAACUGGAGGCUGAUGGUGUUGCGGAGGAGGGAACCAAACAACCAUAGCUGGGCCAUGUGAUUGAAACAGCGGCCUGUGGAGCUCCUCUGGUACACCUUCUCUGACAUGUACACCCCCUUCCUGAAGAUCUGUCGUAACCACUGCUUGAAUCAUUGUCCACUGAUACUUCCAUCCCUUCUGCAUGUGCGUGUGUGUGCCACCGCACACAAGUGUGCUUCUGUGUGUGUGUGUGUGUGUGUGUGUGUGUGUGUGUGUGUGUGUGUGUGUGUGUGUGUAUACUGAAUGUGUCUGUGUGUGCGUGCGUAUUUCUAUAUGUCUGUAUGAGAUGUGUCUCUUUCCUUGAAAUGAGCCAGGGAGGACUUUUCUGCAACUUAACUACUGAACACAUAGUACUUAAUUCAUAGCUACAAGUCAGCAUCAGAAGUCUUAUCUCAUCAUACGGAAAGGCAUUUUCAACGCACGCUAUAGGACAGGCUAGGGCUGGGCGGUAUGACCUAAAAUGUAUACCACAGUAUAGUUUAGGAUGGAGCAGUAACAAUAACCCAACAUCUUAAUAUCUAAUUUUAUUGCCUGAAUCUAUUAUUCAUUAACUAAUAAUAUUGUUAACAGUGGCUGUAGAGGCAGAGUUAAUACCUGAUGGAUGUUAAAAGCUACACACUGCAGAGCAAAUAUUGUGUGUAUAUCUGUUGUAUCGUGAUAACUUGGGUAGUUAACAGCAGCUGCAGUUCAGUUUUGAGAUUUAGUUUGACACACUGUGAAUCCAGUGUCUUUCAACAUUGCCUUAAAGGAAUACUUUGACGAUUGUCAACCAGCUUUGUAUCAUAUUAAUCAAUAGUAACUUCCCUUUACGUUGCCAGCACCCAGAUCUCCCUGCUCAACUCCCAGCGAAAAUGCUGGAUGAAGUAUAGGUGUCAUUCGGCGGAUCCAGCUUUAAGGCUGCCGCUCAACUAUAGAUUGUACUUCUGCAUUUGGACACAAAGAGUUUGAGAUCAAGCAGAUCUUAGAUGAUCAAACCGUAAAACUAGGCAGUGCUGUUCAAAUAUAAACCAAGUUUAAAAAACGAAUGUUUGCUACCAGUCUGCCGCCAUAUUGCUUGCGGAAGGGAAACUCUCAUUACAUUGUCCACCAGCAGGAGUGUUUAGUGUUCUGGUGCAACGCAGUGCAUUCUGGUAGUUGAACGUUUUCUGUCUCUUGAUCAAAAGCAAAUGCCACAGCCCUUUUUCUCUGUUUUCUCUGCUCAUGUAGCACGGACUUCAAAAGUAUAUGCAUCUUACUGCAUAGACAACCCCGUUUUAUGAAAAGACCGUCUUCCCAGCAGUGAAGUACUUCUUUAAAGCCUUGUCUCUCAUCUGCCUGUAUGGGCACCAUGUCUUAAAAUAGAUGCACACUUAGAGUAUGUGUAAUCCAGAGAGUAUUCUUAAACAUUCCUCAUACCUGUCUGGGUUUUUCUUGCCCCGCAUAGUCAGUAGAAUCUGUAGACCUUUUUCACAGUGUACAUUUUGACUUGUCAUAGGGAACCAGGGAGUGAUUUUAGCCCUGAAUGUUUUCUCAAAAGCCCUCAGUCUUUUAAGUUUUUAAAAUGCCUUCAACUUUGUGUCUUUCAGAUAAUAAUAUACCAGUCAGCUACAACAUUAUAACCACUGGUGGGUGAAGUGCAAAACAUUGAUCGUCUUGUUACGCUUCAGUGUUCUGCUGGGAAAGCUUGGGUCCGGGCAGUCAUGUGGACGCCACUUGAUACAUAACACACACCCUUACACCGUUGCAGACCAGGUACCCCUCUCCUCAUGGGAGCAGCACUCCCAAUGGCAUUGGACAGUGUGCCAUCCCACACUUCAGAAGGUGAUGUGUGGCAUGGUGCGUUGUCCAGCUGGGGGGGUACUUGGUCAUUCCACAGGAAUGCCAGGACCCAAGAUUUUCCUGCCGAACUUGAGAAUGUAACGAGAUGAUCAGUGUUGUUCACUUUAUUUGGGAGUGGUUUUAAUGUUUUGGCUGAUCGCUGUAUAUGCUACCGUGCUAUCCUACCAUGCUACUCUCUAAAGAAAUCAAAUACAAUUGAGUAGAUGUUCUUCUGUUGGCCUUAUAUUCAAUUCAGAGCUAAGUGACCACAUCUACUUGGCAUUGUUGCGGAUCCUUGAUUUGCAAUUAGAGUAGCCCAGAUUAGUCAUCCUCAACAUUUGUUCUGUUAUGGUUUCAGAAUGAUGAAGGCAGCUGGAGAACAAGUAGAUACAUAAUAGGUUGUAGGCUGUACAGGCUGAUUUAUUUUUGCAGUAACUAUCAUGUAUUGAUUUUGAUCAUUCUUUUAGGAUGGCGUUCUCUCAGAUGGUUUGAAAAAUAGUGCAUAUAUCUGCUUUAAAUGGUUAAACAAACUUUUUAAGGGUUUGAGCUGAGCCCCCAAAAAUGCACAACUACACUGAUUAAUUUGCAGCGAGUUGUAGUGGUGUUUUUAGAGUACUUUAUAGCAUAUUUAAAUCUUUAUAUUUCUAUUGUAUGUCACUGGUUAUACCGUCCACCCCUAUGACAGAAACUUCUCAGCAUCCAUCUCGGCCUUGCCUAGAGGAAUGAUAUGUUACUGUGCCUGAAUACAGCAGGCACACAUUUCAGUUCAGUCUGUUAUUUGAAGGGUUAAAAUUGAGUCUUGGUUUUAGACCGUACAAUAUCUGUGACUGCAAUACACUGUGCAAUUAUUUGCACACACUGCAUGGGGAAAAUUGUCAGUGUCAGUGUGACAGUGCUGAGCUUCCCUCGCAGAAUUCUUCCCUACAAUACAAAUAAAGCUAGCGCUGGGUGAGAAGUGUGUUGUUUGAGACAGAGUGGAAUGAAUUAUUGUUGACUUCAUGACAGCCUUUUUGUCAAAGUCAAAAACAUAUCAGAGACGAAUCAUAGUAAGAACCUCACACUGCACCCACAGUUCAUGCUGGUGCCAACUGUUAGUAAUAACUAGGGUAAGAAUUAAUAAAGGUUGCCCAAACAGACACAGUUGAAGUAAUCCUGAGCAUGACCCAUAUUACUCACAGAGUUGAGUGCCAUUAACAGACAGUAAUACAGGGAAUUAUACCAAAUGAACCAAAUUGAAAUAUAUGAUGCUUAUAUUCAAAACUGACAGAUAAGAGCCUACUAACAAAAACAUGUAGAAUUUGUUAUUUUAGCAACUGGAAGCAUGUUCAGAGGACUAAACUCCAAACGAAGGAAUACUUCGCACAUCUACUUUCAGACAGGGCUGUAGGAGAGGUAAGAGAGGAACAGAAUUUGUAGAAAAGACUGCAGGAGUCAGGAGUCUUUUCUACUAGAGUACUGUACUGCCAAGAGUACAUGUCAAACAGUGCAUAUCAUAGGGCUGCCCCCGAAUAGUCGACCAAACGUUAGUCGAACAGAAAGGUUGUUAGUCAGCAACAUUUCAUUGGUCGCUUAGUUGCAGAAAAAAAAAAGCACGAAACUCAAUUAGGAGCUGCACCUUGUCAAAAUUGGCGGAAUUUAAUUUGAAAGGACAGACUCAGGAAGUGGCCACGCUCAGCAGUCAGACAGGAGUCACGUUAAUUAAUAAGUCACGUUAUUCCACAGGUUAGUUAAUAACAUGUCGGGCAGGAAAUCCAAAGUGUGGGAUCAUUUUGAGAAGGUGAAGGACGAACCCAAGGUGAUAUGUAAACUCAUCUUCAUUGGUCGACUACAAACAUGACGUAUCAUCUGAAACAUGGAAGUAGCUACAUGCCCAUUAGCCACUUAGCACAAUCAUUACUGCUUUGCCAACAGCGUCAUUAACAGGCGGCUCGCUCAGUGUGUGACGUGCACUUGUAGAUAAAAUAUAGGCCUAUAUUAAUGAAGGCUCAUUAGUACGGUUUUGUAUUUCUCUGUAAUGUAGCACAGUGUUAACAAUGUUACUGAUACUAUUCUUUCUCACACCUUCAACUCAAACCAUUGUGUUGCCCCGCCCAAAAUAUAUCAUUUAAUAAUUACAUUAAGAUCGUAAACAUGCAGACUAGGGUUAGGGGGUUAGAGUUAGGGUUAGGGUUAGUUGACUUAUGGCCCAAAUGACAACUAUUGGUGGACUAGGAAAAUUCUUAGUCGGGGGCAGCCCUAGCAUAUCAAAAAGAAAACUAAUAUAAAAAAGUAAGAAACUAGGUUCUGCUCUUUGAAGUUUACCACUAAACCAAAACAAAGUGUCAGUCAAAGCAUGUUUAAGUUUCCACUCUAUGUCGUAAUCAGGUGGCACCAUUUAUCAAAUAUUAUAACACCUGCAUUUUAUUUAGAUUUCAUUUUGAUACACGCAUAUAUAUUUUGCUUGCAUCUUUAAUUUAUAAAGUCUCAGAGGUAUUCGGUUGCACAUCGGGGAGUUUAGUCUGCCUCCUGUACAAUAUCAAGAAACAACUUUAAUAUGUCAUGUCAUGAAGAAAAAAAAGCUUCCGUAGUACAAAUAAUCUAUGUCUUGUUAUUCUAACUCCAACUGGAGCCCUGUUUUAUAGAGAUUUUGAAAGAAAGAACAACUUUAAACUGAGCCAUUGCACCUCAAUACAAACACAAUGUAGUGUUUAUUUUAAAGCAGAUAAAUAUAUAAUAAAGUUUCAAAAGUUUAAAAACGUACAUCCUAGCUCCGUCUGCAAAGUAAUGCCUUUACCUCAACAGUGGUGUUUAAAACUGUAGAUAUUGUUUUGCACAUUCACAUAUUUUAACCACUUCUAAUAUAAUCAUAGUGGAGAGCAUGUGACUAUAAUGGAAACGAGAAAAUAUAUAUAUAAAGCUCACUUUAAUAAGAUGGUAUAUAUCAGAAUGUGGAGCUGUUGUAAUAGAAACAUGGCAUGAUGAUUGUAUGGUUAAAUGGGAAAUGUAUCGGUAGUGUGUUUAGUUGAUCAUUUAUUUGGUUGGAGCACUUUAAUGUUAAAAAAAAUAUAUAUUAUCUUGAUAAAAAUCACUGUUAAAUGUCCAUGUUGCAGCAUGUGAGCUUUGGUACUCUCUGAAUGUCUUAUGUUUUAACUAUGUUGUGAUGACAGGCUGUCGUAGAGUGAUGUCUCUAUGAUACCUCUCGUGUCUUAAACUGGCUCGCUGUGUCAUCCAGGUGUUGGAGAGUGCUUCCAAAUCUGGUGACUCGGCCAGUCCUGGUUUCAGACAAUGUUUUUAAAAAAAACGCAGAUCUAGGUUUAGGCCUAUUACUCUACUUUUUUGUUUGUUUUUAUCAUUUGUGAUACUAUUUUCCAACAUUAUAUGUAAUGUGUGAUUUCCUCAAAUAUCAAUACGGUCAUUAAACACAAACAAGCUGUAAAGAACAACAAUAAAAUGGUGAUUUGUUUUUUUUGUUUUUUUUUUAAAGUAGGCAAAAUACAUAAACCUUUCCUGGGACGCCGCUGUCUGUGUGUGAUCGUGUAUGUUAACGUUGACCCAUGUGGUGAUGUCAGGUUAACAUUUGGGCGGAUUUAGUGCAGGAAGGUUUUGUCUGCAAUAUGAAGUCAGAUACAUAAUGUAUAUUGUAUAUACUGUAUUUCUCAGAAACAAUGGAACAAAUAAAAACAUGAAUACUGUGUCAUGUACUAGGCAGAUUCAUCAUUGUGCAUCACUGUUUACCAUCUCUGGCUAUGAGUUUGCCCUGAGUAGUUGCUCUUGUAUCACUUUGAAAUGAUAGUGAACACCAAACUAAUGCUUGCACUGUGCUGCCUGUUAUCAAGCAGCUGUCAUUACAUUAUGUAUUUUAAAUAAAGAUGAUUUAGGAAAA